Molecule: transfer RNA, 63 nt
Filed under: Meghimatium bilineatum
Lineage: Eukaryota; Metazoa; Mollusca; Gastropoda; Stylommatophora; Philomycidae
Description: tRNA-Val
Source: RNAcentral
GAAAAUAAAGUAUUUUUGUAUAAUUCUUUUACAAAGAAUAGGUCUAAAUAAUUAGUAUUUUCU